AUGGUCAAGUUAGAAAGAGCGUACGGUGGAUGCCUUGGCGCUUUGGGCCGAUGAAGGACGUGGUAAGCUGCGAUAAGCCACGGGGAGCCGCACACAGGCUUCGAUCCGUGGAUUUCCGAAUGGGGCAACCCGGCGAGGGCGAACUCUCGUCAUCCUGCACUGAAUUCAUAGGUGCAUGAAGGGCACCCGGGGAACUGAAACAUCUUAGUACCCGGAGGAAAAGAAAGCAAAAGCGAUCCCCCUAGUAGCGGCGAGCGAACAGGGGUCAGACUAAACCAGGAAGCGCUUGCGCUUCCUGGGGUUGCGGGAACUCUAUAACGGCUGACUAUUCUUAGGUGAAGCGGCCUGGAAAGGCUCACCAUAGAGAGUAACAGUCUUGUAACCGAAAGGGAGCAUCAGCCAGGAGUAUUCCCAAGUACCGCGGGGCACGUGGAAUCCCGUGGGAAUCUGGGAGGACCACCUCCCAAGUCUAAAUACCCAAAGCGACCGAUAGUGAACUAGUACCGUGAGGGAAAGGUGAAAAGCACCCCGGGAGGGGAAUGAAAUAGAACCUGAAACCGUAUGCUUACAAACAGUCAGAGCACUAUUGAGGAGUUUCUCCUCAAGUGUGAUGGCGUACUUUUUGUAGAACGGACCGGCGAGUUACAUUUAACGAGCGAGGUUAAGGCUGAUUAGGCCGGAGCCGCAGCGAAAGCGAGUCUUAAUAGGGCGUUUAGUUCGUUGAAGUAGACCCGAAACCGGGUGAUCUACCCAUGUCCAGAGUGAAGCGCGGUUAAAACCGCUUGGAGGCUCGAACCAACCGUCGUUGAAAAGGCGGUGGAUGAGGUGUGGGUAGGGGUGAAAUGCCAAUCGAACCCGGAAAUAGCUGGUUCUCCCCGAAAUAGCUUUAGGGCUAGCCUUGACGGAGGAUCCCGGAGGUAGAGCACUGAUUGGGCUAGGGGCCUUCACCGGUUACCAACCCCAUUCAAACUCCGAAUGCCGGAAAUCUGCUCGUCAGGAGUCAGACUGCGGGUGCAAAGAUUCGUAGUCGAAAGGGAAACAGCCCAGACCGACGGCUAAGGUCCCAAAGUUGUGCUAAGUGGUAAAGGAUGUGGGGUUGCCCCGACAACCAGGAUGUUGGCUUAGAAGCAGCCAUUCAUUUAAAGAGUGCGUAAUAGCUCACUGGUCAAGUGGUCCUGCGCCGAAAAUUAACGGGGCUCAAGCACAACACCGAAGCCACGGACUUGCAAUUUUUGCAAGUGGUAGGGGAGCGUUCUGUAUGCAGCGAAGCUAUACCGUGAGGAGUGGUGGAGCGUACAGAAGUGAGAAUGCCGGUAUUAGUAAGCGAAAAGGCAGGUGAGAAUCCUGCCCGCCGAAAGCCUAAGGUUUCCUGGGGAAGGCUCGUCCGCCCAGGGUAAGCCGGGGCCUAAGCCGAGGCUGAAGAGCGUAGGUGAUGGAUAAUCGGUUGAGAAUCCGAUGCCACCAGUAGCCGUUAUCAGGAUGGGGUGACACAGGAGGGAAGACCAUGCGCGCGGUUGGAAAAGCGCGUCCAAGCCAGUAGGGGGUGGAACAGGCAAAUCCGUUCCACAUCAAACCCCGAGAGGUGAUGGGGAGGGAAAUAAGUACUGAAGUGGUUGAAGCCCAUACUGUCAAGAAAAACCUCUUACGAGGCUCACUGGCGCCCGUACCGUAAACCGACACAGGUAGGCGAGGAGAGAAUCCUAAGGCGCGCGAGAGAACCCUCGUUAAGGAACUCGGCAAAAUUACCCCGUAACUUCGGGAGAAGGGGUGCCCCAUUAGCGUGGGAUCACUUGCUGAUUGAGCGCGAGGGGGCCGCAGAGAAGAGGCCCAAGCGACUGUUUACCAAAAACACAGGUCCCUGCUAAAUCGUAAGAUGAUGUAUAGGGGCUGACGCCUGCCCGGUGCUGGAAGGUUAAGGGGAGGGGUGAGAGCUCUGAACCGAAGCCCCAGUAAACGGCGGCCGUAACUAUAACGGUCCUAAGGUAGCGAAAUUCCUUGUCGGGUAAGUUCCGACCCGCACGAAAGGCGUAACGAUUUGGGCGCUGUCUCAACGAGGGACUCGGUGAAAUUGUAAUACCCGUGAAGAUGCGGGUUACCUGCGACAGGACAGAAAGACCCCGUGGAGCUUUACUGUAGCCUGAUAUUGGAUUUCGUUAUUUCAUGUACAGGAUAGGUGGGAAGCUUGGAAGCCAGGGCGCCAGCCUUGGUGGAGCUAACCUUGGGAUACCACCCUUGGGAUAUUGGAGUUCUAACUUGAGGCCGUUAUCCGGUCUGAGGACAGUGUCAGGUGGGCAGUUUGACUGGGGCGGUCGCCUCCCAAAAGGUAACGGAGGCGCCCAAAGGUUCCCUCAGCGUGGUUAGAAAUCACGCAUUAGAGUGUAAAGGCAUAAGGGAGCUUGACAGCGAGACACACAGGUCGAGCUGGGACGAAAGUCGGGCUUAGUGAUCCGGCGGUUGCGAGUGGAAGUGCCGUCGCUCAACGGAUAAAAGCUACCCCGGGGAUAACAGGCUUAUCUCCCCCAAGAGUUCACAUCGACGGGGAGGUUUGGCACCUCGAUGUCGGCUCAUCGCAUCCUGGGGCUGGAGUAGGUCCCAAGGGUUGGGCUGUUCGCCCAUUAAAGCGGUACGUGAGCUGGGUUCAGAACGUCGUGAGACAGUUCGGUCCCUAUCCGUCGCAGGCGCAGGAAACUUGAGAGGAUCUGUCCCUAGUACGAGAGGACCGGGAUGGACAGACCUCUGGCGUACCAGUUGUUCCGCCAGGAGCAGCGCUGGGUACCUAUGUCUGGAGAGGAUAAGCGCUGAAAGCAUCUAAGCGCGAAACCCACCUCAAGAUAAGGUUUCCCACCCAUUUGAAGGGUGAGAUGUGAGAGGUAAAUAAUCUCACACCUCCUACAUCUCACCUUUCGGUGGGGUAAGACCCCUGGUAGACUACCAGGUAGAUAGGCCAGAAGUGUAAGCCGGGUGACCGGUUAAGCGGACUGGUACUAAUAGGUCGAGGACUUGACCUU
This 3008-nucleotide ribosomal RNA is filed under the name Desulfotomaculum sp. RNAcentral describes it as "bacterial LSU rRNA". It matches the Rfam family "Bacterial large subunit ribosomal RNA". The record is from RNAcentral. Lineage: Bacteria; Bacillati; Bacillota; Clostridia; Eubacteriales; Desulfotomaculaceae.